RNAcentral lists this ribosomal RNA (389 nucleotides) under uncultured eukaryote. RNAcentral describes it as "partial small subunit ribosomal RNA". It matches the Rfam family "Eukaryotic small subunit ribosomal RNA", at positions 587 to 975 of the family's 1831-position model. The record is from RNAcentral.
AGCUCCAAUAGCGUAUAUUAAAAGUGAUUGCUGUUAAAAAAAACUUGUAGUUGAAUUUACAACUGAUCAUUCUGAUCCGCUCUUAGGAGUGUGCACCAUACAUGUCUGGCCAUCCUUUGGGAGAGCCACAGUGGCAUUAAGCUGUAGGUGUGGAGAUCUCAAACCCUCUUAAUGUAAAAAAAAUAGAGUGUUCAAAGCAGGCUUAUGCCGUUGAAUAUAUUAUCAAGGGAUAAGAACGUAUAACUAUAGUACUAUGUUGUUGGUUUGUGCAUAAUAGUAAUAAUUACCAUGGAUGGUUAGGGAUAGUUGUAUUCUAUUGUCAGAGGUGAAAUUCUUAGAAUUUUUAAAGACAAACUACUGUGAUAGCAUUUACCAACGAUUUUUGUUCA